AGGUUAAGUUAUUAAGGGCGCAUGGCGGAUGCCUUGGCACUAGAAGCCGAUGAAGGACGGCACUAACACCGAUAUGCUUUGGGGAGCUGUAAGUGAGCUUUGAUCCAGAGAUUUCCGAAUGGGGGAACCCACUGUUUUUAAUAGAACAGUAUCUACACGUGAAUUCAUAGCGUGAUGAUGGCAGACUCAGGGAACUGAAACAUCUAAGUACCUGAAGGAAGAGAAAGAAAAUUCGAUUCCCUUAGUAGCGGCGAGCGAAACGGGAAGAGCCCAAACCAAGGAGCUUGCUCCUUGGGGUUGUAGGACACUCUAUACGGAGUUACAAAGGAACGAGUUAAAUGAAGCGGCAUGGAAAGGCCCACCAAAGAAGGUAACAGUCCUGUAGUUGAAAGUUCGUUCUCUCCAGAGUGUAUCCUGAGUACGGCGGAACACGUGAAAUUCCGUCGGAAUCUGGGAGGACCAUCUCCCAAGGCUAAAUACUCCCUAGUGAUCGAUAGUGAACCAGUACCGUGAGGGAAAGGUGAAAAGCACCCCGGAAGGGGAGUGAAAGAGAUCCUGAAACCGUGUGCCUACAAAUAGUCAGAGCCCGUUAACGGGUGAUGGCGUGCCUUUUGUAGAAUGAACCGGCGAGUUACGAUCCCGUGCGAGGUUAAGCUGAAGAGGCGGAGCCGCAGCGAAAGCGAGUCUGAAUAGGGCGUUUAGUACGUGGUCGUAGACCCGAAACCAGGUGAUCUACCCAUGUCCAGGGUGAAGUUCAGGUAACACUGAAUGGAGGCCCGAACCCACGCACGUUGAAAAGUGCGGGGAUGAGGUGUGGGUAGCGGAGAAAUUCCAAUCGAACCUGGAGAUAGCUGGUUCUCCCCGAAAUAGCUUUAGGGCUAGCCUUAAGUGUAAGAGUCUUGGAGGUAGAGCACUGAUUGGACUAGGGGUCCUCAUCGGAUUACCGAAUUCAGUCAAACUCCGAAUGCCAAUGACUUAUCCUUAGGAGUCAGACUGCGAGUGAUAAGAUCCGUAGUCAAAAGGGAAACAGCCCAGACCGCCAGCUAAGGUCCCAAAGUGUGUAUUAAGUGGAAAAGGAUGUGGAGUUGCUUAGACAACUAGGAUGUUGGCUUAGAAGCAGCCACCAUUUAAAGAGUGCGUAAUAGCUCACU
Molecule: ribosomal RNA, 1151 nt
Filed under: Acinetobacter baumannii
Lineage: Bacteria; Pseudomonadati; Pseudomonadota; Gammaproteobacteria; Moraxellales; Moraxellaceae
Description: partial 23S ribosomal RNA
Rfam family: Bacterial large subunit ribosomal RNA
Source: RNAcentral